Molecule: ribosomal RNA, 448 nt
Filed under: uncultured bacterium
Lineage: Bacteria
Description: bacterial SSU rRNA
Rfam family: Bacterial small subunit ribosomal RNA
Source: RNAcentral
AGAGUUUGAUCAUGGCUCAGGACGAACGCUGGCGGCGUGCUUCACACAUGCAAGUCGAGCGGUAAGGCCCUUCGGGGUACACGAGCGGCGAACGGGUGAGUAACACGUGGGUGACCUGCCCUCCACUUCGGGAUAAGUCUGGGAAACUGGGUCUAAUACCGGAUAGGACCUUCUCCUGCAUGGGGGUUGGUGGAAAGUUUUUCGGUGGGGGAUGGGCCCGCGGUCUAUCAGCUUGUUGGUGGGGUGAUGGCCUACCAAGGCGACGACGGAUAGCCGGCCUGAGAGGGUGAUCGGCCACACUGGGACCGAGACACGGCCCAGACUCCUACGGGAGGCAGCAAUGGCCGACUUUUUCCAGAGAUCCAUCUCUGUCCCGGCCUCCGGAUCCUCCUUCUCGUCGUGUGUUACAAGUGUACACACGAGUAUGGCCAUUGAUUACCGGAUUCAA